GUUGAUAUAUGAACCUACAUAAAAUUAGAUGAAGAAAAGAAAUAACAAGGAACGUAGAAUUUUUAAUUAAAUUUUGAAACCGGUCGUUUCACCGCACUUGAUAGGGUCGGUGUUAAGAAUAUGACUUUCGAGUGUCAGCGUAUUUUACCUCUGACGGAUAUCGUCGCGUUAAAAAUCGCGUUGAAGGAAACGCGAAUAAAUUUGUUAAUUACAGUAAUCGGUUUUUGAAUCGCUAUGCCGCGGCGAUAUUUCGUGUACCACCGGCGGCGCAUGAUGUCCCUUGGGGAAGAUACGAAUGUACCACCGGUGGUUCGGCUCGUCGUGAACGUGUUAAACGCAUGAAACUUCCACGGUGCGGGUUAUAUAAACACGAAGUUUCAUACGAUUUAUGUCAACGUAUGAACGAGGCUUGGUGACCUUCUAUGAGCGCGUUCGUCGAUUUAUACGCGUAUUACUUUCUACACGACCCUCGUCUCCAACGUUCUGAGGGAACGUCAGGAUAGCAGAGGGGUAUUGGCGAUUGAAGAAUUUCUGAGUGUCGAAGGGAAGGCAGUCUGGAGGCAAUGGGGAAGGUCAUGGAGGAGACGGGGAAAAAAGAAGAAGGAAAGCGGAGAAGA
Molecule: unclassified non-coding RNA, 617 nt
Filed under: Bombus terrestris (buff-tailed bumblebee)
Lineage: Eukaryota; Metazoa; Arthropoda; Insecta; Hymenoptera; Apidae
Description: misc RNA ENSBTSG00005035423.1
Source: RNAcentral